RNAcentral lists this ribosomal RNA (443 nucleotides) under uncultured bacterium. RNAcentral's name for it is "partial 16S ribosomal RNA". It matches the Rfam family "Bacterial small subunit ribosomal RNA", at positions 338 to 795 of the family's 1533-position model. The record is from RNAcentral.
CCUACGGGGGGCAGCAGUGGGGAAUAUUGGGCAAUGGGCGCAAGCCUGACCCAGCAACGCCGCGUGGAGGAAGAAGGCUUUCGGGUUGUAAACUUCUUUUAUCAGGGACGAAGCAAGUGACGGUACCUGAUGAAUAAGCCACGGCUAACUACGUGCUAGCAGCCGCGGUAGUACGAAGGUGGCAAGCGUGAUUCGGAUUUACUGGGUGUAAGGGGGGUGUAGGCGGGAAAGCAAGUCAGAUGUGAAAACCAUGGGCUCAACCUGUGGGCUGCAUUUGAAACUGUUUUACUUGAGUACUGGAGGGGCAGAUGGAAUUCCUAGUGUAGCGGUGAAAUGCGUAGAUAUUAGGAGGAACACCAGUGGCGAAGGCAGGCUGCUGGGCAGCAACUGACGCUGAGGCGCGAAAGCAUGGGGAGCAAACAGGAUUAGAUACCCGAGUAGUC